Molecule: long non-coding RNA, 245 nt
Filed under: Elaeis guineensis (African oil palm)
Lineage: Eukaryota; Viridiplantae; Streptophyta; Magnoliopsida; Arecales; Arecaceae
Description: long non-coding RNA (EGUI_LNC006662)
Source: RNAcentral
CUCCCGAUAUUCGUCGGAGCCGCGGAAGUCCUCCACGGCCCGACUUAUUGCCUCUUUCGCCGACUCUGCCUCCGCCCUCGUUAUGUCUGCAUCGACUUGAGCGGAGGAUAAAUUCUCCUCGAUCUUGGUGAGAUUUUCCAAACUUAUCUAGAGCUGCUCGCAUUCGGCUUUGAGUUCACCGACGUAGUCAUCCCGCUCGCGGCACAGCCGGCGAAGGGUGCAGGACUUUCGUUUGGCUUCCUCGC